Molecule: non-coding RNA, 45 nt
Filed under: Schistosoma margrebowiei
Lineage: Eukaryota; Metazoa; Platyhelminthes; Trematoda; Strigeidida; Schistosomatidae
Source: RNAcentral
AUCCAACUAACGAGUCCUAAAGAGGACGAAACGCAUGUCGUGGAU